Molecule: long non-coding RNA, 507 nt
Organism: Oreochromis aureus
Lineage: Eukaryota; Metazoa; Chordata; Actinopteri; Cichliformes; Cichlidae
Source: Ensembl
AGAGAUCCAAGACCUGAAACACAAGGAGAGUGGAAAGAAAGCGUCGUGAAAUCUGGAGGGAACCUCCAGGUUUCCACGCUGGUUGUGACGGACUCUUAGAAGCGGUUGAGAUGGAUAUCAGAGUGCAGGAGCCCAGGAACAGAUCCAAGACCUGAAACACAAGGAGAGUGGAAAGAAAGCGUCGUGAAAUCUGGAGGGAACUUCCAGGUUUCCACCCCGGCUGUGACGCACACUUACAAGCGGGUGAGAUGGAUAUCAGAGUGCAGGAGCCCAGGAAGAGAUCCAAGACCUGAAACACAAGGAGAGUGGAAAGAAAGCGUUGUGCAAUAUGGAGGGAACUUCCAGGUUUCCACGCCGGCUGUGACGGACACUUAGAAGCGGGUGAGAUAGAUAUCACAGUGCUGGAGCCCAGGAAGAGACCCAAGACCUGAAACACAAGGAGAGUGGAAAGAAAGCGUUGUGCAAUAUGGAGGGAACUUCCAGGUUUCCACGCCGGCUGUGACGGGC